CAGUCGCCGCGGUAAUACGAAGGGUGCAAGCGUUAAUCGGAAUUACUGGGCGUAAAGCGCGCGUAGGUGGUUUGGUAAGAUGGAUGUGAAAUCCCCGGGCUCAACCUGGGAACUGCAUCCAUAACUGCCUGACUAGAGUACGGUAGAGGGUGGUGGAAUUUCCUGUGUAGCGGUGAAAUGCGUAGAUAUAGGAAGGAACACCAGUGGCGAAGGCGACCACCUGGACUGAUACUGACACUGAGGUGCGAAAGCGUGGGGAGCAAACAGGAUUAGAGACCCCCGUAGUCCCUGUCUCUUAUAC
This 301-nucleotide ribosomal RNA is filed under the name uncultured bacterium. Its description in RNAcentral is "partial 16S ribosomal RNA". It matches the Rfam family "Bacterial small subunit ribosomal RNA", at positions 509 to 807 of the family's 1533-position model. The record is from RNAcentral.